This 1399-nucleotide long non-coding RNA is filed under the name Homo sapiens (human). Its description in RNAcentral is "long non-coding RNA NONHSAT180531.1". The record is from RNAcentral. Lineage: Eukaryota; Metazoa; Chordata; Mammalia; Primates; Hominidae.
GGUGCAGCUUCAAGCUUAGGACCACCCACCAUGCCUAUCCAGGUGUCAGGAGCUGGAACCGUGGCUGCAGCGAAAUAGAACUGAAAGUGCUGAAGGGCCUGACCAUCACUCAUUAAGAACAGAGGAGGCUGCCUGUUACUCCUGGUCAUCCCUCCAGACACUCUGCUGUUUCCUGCCUAGGCGUGGCUGCAGCCAUGGCUAGGAAAGCGCUGCCACCCACCCACCUGGGCCAGAGCUGGUUCUGCUCCUGCUGCAGGGACACUGAGCUGGCUAUCUCGGCGCUUCGGGCAAGAACUGCAACAGGCUCUCCUGGGUCCUGCAGGUGUACAGCCGGGCCCCUGCCUUGUGCCUCAGCUCUCGAGAGCUGCUGCUGCCGGGUGACCUGAUCCAACCUGAUAAGGUGCCAUCUUCAGCUACCACUGCAAGGCCCUGAGGGCAACAGCAGCACGGCACUGCCCACCCGGCUGCUGAUGGCCUGGUGCCAGCUGGGAGUCCUCCCGGCACUUCGAGGCCACUGAGCCACCCUUCCAGCCCCAGCCCACCAUGGACAGGGGUAUCCAGCUUCCUCCUCAACCUCGUCCUCUGCCCCUGAGCCAGUGACGCCCAAGGACAUGCCUGUUACCCAGGUCCUGUACCAGCACUAGCUGGUCAAGGGCAUGACAGUGCUGGAGGCCGUCUUGGAGAUCCAGGCCAUCACUGGCAGCAGGCUGCUCUCCAUGGUGCCAGGGCCCGCCAGGCCACCAGGCUCAUGCUGGGACCCAACCCAGUGCACAAGGACUUGGCUGCUGAGCCACACACCCAGGAGAAGGUGGAUAAGUGGGCUACCAAGGGCUUCCUGCAGGCUAGGGGAGGAGCCACCCCCGCUUCCCUAUUGUGACCAGGCCUAUGGGGAGGAGCUGUCCAUACGCCACCGUGAGACCUGGGCCUGGCUCUCAAGGACAGACACCGCCUGGCCUGGUGCUCCAGGGGUGAAGCAGGCCAGAAUCCUGGGGGAGCUGCUCCUGGUUUGAGCUGCAUUCAGGAAGUGCGGGACAUGGUAGGGGAGGCAAAAAGCCUUGGGCACUACCCUCCCUGUGGAGCUGUUCGGUGUCCGUCGAGCUAGCCACACCCUGACACCAUGUUCAAGGGUACCGGAAGAGAAGGGUGUCUGCCCCCAACCUCCCCUGUGGGUGUCACUGGCCAGAUGUCAUGAGGGAAGCAGGCCUUGUGAGUGGACACUGACCAUGAGUCCCUGGGGGGAGUGAUCCCCCAGGCAUCGUGUGCCAUGUUGCACUUCUGCCCAGGCAGCAGGGUGGGUGGGUACCAUGGGUGCCCACCCCUCCACCACAUGGGGCCCCAAAGCACUGCAGGCCAAGCAGGGCAACCCCACACCCUUGACAUAAAAGCAUCUUGAAGCUUU